CUUAAAUCAAUUGUGGCACGAUUAGUCACCCUAUAAUUACGUCAAUGAUCCAAUCAUAUACUCAUAAGGUAUUACAAUAGUAGAAAUCUGAUCAUAUUUGAACCGAAAAGUUAACAGAACAAGAUUUUGAUGAUGAUUAAAUUUGCCACUCUGCUAUUAGUCAUCUCACCAAUGGUACUUAGUAGGCCAAAUUUUCGGGAUUUAAUACCAAAUGGUUAUCACGUACCUAACCCAUGUAGGAUUCCUGCAACCUGGAACCCAGUUGGGCAUUAUAAUCCAGAACAUUAUACAAACCUGAAAAAUCCAUUUGGUGUUGAUUUCAGAGCAAAUGGUUUUAAAUGGAAUGCUACAAUAUGUAAAAAAGAUUCUGACGGAGAUGGGAUGACGAAUGGAGAGGAACUCGGAGAUUCCAACUGUUCAUGGCAUACAGGACAAAAAACAUUCAAUCCGAUUGGACAUCCAGG
This is a long non-coding RNA of Mytilus trossulus (common blue mussel), 464 nucleotides long. RefSeq lists it as uncharacterized. The record is from RefSeq and is a predicted model, not a curated record. NCBI's taxonomy places the organism in Eukaryota, Metazoa, Mollusca, Bivalvia, Mytilida, Mytilidae. The transcript has 3 exons.